AGCGACAGAGGGCAGGGAGAACAGAGACUCGGGCGGAUCUCCGACCAGGAGUGGGUGGUCGGGGUCAGGCCGGCACUGCCAGCCAGCAUAGCAGGGGGGACCUCGCGCACCAGCUGGUUCAAGCGAAGCACGCGAGCGGGAGGAGCAGAGCAAAAAGCAGACGGAGAGAGAACAAGGAAAGCCGUGGGGGUGCGAACCAGAGGAAAACCGGAGAGAGAGCUUGAGCGAGAGGGGAGUUUUCGGAGAGACAGAGAGCGACCUGGAGGGAGAGAGUGAAACUUGAGAGCGAGAAGGAGUUUUCUAGCAGAUCGGCCACGCUUGAACCCUCUUCGACGACCUCUGGCCAAUACCCUCUAGCAUACGAUCUUUCGCUCCCGAAUUUCCGCGUCGCUGAAAGAGGAAGAUUUCCGACGGCAGAAACAAUGUUUUUUGGCAGAGAACCAUAUUUUUCUAAGGGAAAAUUCAGUCGAGAAGCAUGCUUACAGAAGAGUUCAAGAGCAUGACCAUCAUUCAUAGGAUGAUCCGGCUUCCCAGACCAAACUAAGUUAGCGCCUCAGCCAAUGGUUUAAUUUGGUUGAAGUGGUCCAUAUCAUCAAAGACAACGAGAACUCUUCAUGUUCGGAAUAGUCUUUCUAUCAAUGUGGUACCGUCAUUCAACGUUUUCACAUCUGGUGGUGAGGUCUUGAAUUAACUUCUUCUGCAGAGAUACCACUCCAUGCUAUUCAAUAUCAUCUCGAACAUUUUCAAGAAAACAACAACCAUCAAAGAGGCAACUGAUUUUGUUGUA
Long non-coding RNA from Eucalyptus grandis, 787 nucleotides. RefSeq lists it as uncharacterized. The transcript is spliced from 3 exons. The record is from RefSeq and is a predicted model, not a curated record. NCBI's taxonomy places the organism in Eukaryota, Viridiplantae, Streptophyta, Magnoliopsida, Myrtales, Myrtaceae.